Cucumis melo (muskmelon) is the source of this 668-nucleotide long non-coding RNA. RefSeq lists it as uncharacterized. The transcript is spliced from 3 exons. Lineage: Eukaryota; Viridiplantae; Streptophyta; Magnoliopsida; Cucurbitales; Cucurbitaceae. The record is from RefSeq and is a predicted model, not a curated record.
UCAUUCUUCUAGAGAGAAACGACACACCCUCCUUCUAUUCAAAAAUCUCUUCCGCUGCCACAUCUCUCUCUUUCUCUCCUUCAGACCGACGCCAUCACCAAGCUCGACUCGUCGAACGACGUUUGCACGCCGACGGAACCUAGCCAACACCUUGCGUCUCUCUUUUGUGCGUCGGCCACGAUGCACUCCAAUCGCGACGUGACUUGCCGACGCCAAAUCAGCCGCCGUCACACCAUCCAACUCCCCGAACGAAAACUACCCCACGUCGAACCCUGCACAGGUCACGCAAAAUUGAAGUUCUUGGGUCGAUCUAAGUUUUCGGAUUUGGAGUAUUGGGAGGUUUUGCGCCGUUGUCUAGCCCUUUGAAAACUUGAAAUUGGUCGUUUUGGCAUAACUUAGGUAGCGAUCAAGGGCCAAGCGUUGAUUAAAUACUCGUCAUCGAUUGUAGUCCUCUACUAUUCUUUUGUAUGUAUAUAGUUAAUUUUUUUGUAAUACAUCAGGGAGUGGUUAGAUUGUAGCGAGAGUAAAGUUAAGAACUCGUAAUUUGGUGAGAUCCCUCUUUUUGAAUUAUUUUUGUUCGACAUAUCUUAUUAGAGUAUGGUUGUUUGUCUGAAACUCUGGAACUAUGGAACUAUCUGGAUAAGUGUGUGGUGAGACGCACUUGACGC